UAGGGAAUCUUCCACAAUGGACGCAAGUCUGAUGGAGCAACGCCGCGUGAGUGAAGAAGGUCUUCGGAUCGUAAAACUCUGUUGUUAGAGAAGAACACGAGUGAGAGUAACUGUUCAUUCGAUGACGGUAUCUAACCAGCAAGUCACGGCUAACUACGUGCCAA
Molecule: ribosomal RNA, 164 nt
Filed under: uncultured bacterium
Lineage: Bacteria
Description: partial 16S rRNA
Rfam family: Bacterial small subunit ribosomal RNA
Source: RNAcentral